AUAGCCUCGGUGAUCUAGGUUUAGAAAGCUGUGAAAUUGGAUAUUGAGAUGCUCUCCGGAGUAGUUUCAGACUAGACUGUGGGAAUCGUCUAAUCCGAUCACCGGGAAGACCCUCCACGCGACCUCCUCACCAUCACACCCUCUCCAACUUGAAAACCCUAAAAGUGUCGAGGCCCAGGUGGCUCGAUAGGCAAAUGAUUGGAUCCAGAGUGAAGAGUCUGAUUAAAUAAUCAUUGGAGUGGCGGCGUGCGUGCAGCUUCUCCCCCUGCUCCUCACCUUGGGGACAUAUUGUCCCCUGUCACUGAAACCUCGGGGACAGAAGGCUCCGCCGUGGGGAGGCUCAGCAGGGGAGCGAGGGGCUGAUGAAACGAAGAUGGGGUAAUGAAGGCAUGGCCCAUGGCUUCCGUGGCUCCGCCAUAUGUUUCACCAAAUGCAAAUUGCCCCCAAUUCAAACAACUUUUUCAUCUUGAUAUAUGCAAAUGUGUUUAUAAAUACUGGCUUAUAAAUA
This is a long non-coding RNA of Gasterosteus aculeatus aculeatus (three-spined stickleback), 508 nucleotides long. The record is from Ensembl. NCBI's taxonomy places the organism in Eukaryota, Metazoa, Chordata, Actinopteri, Perciformes, Gasterosteidae.